AACGCGAAGAACCUUACCUGGAUUUGACAUCCUCGGACAGCCUUAGAGAUAAGGUCUCCCCUUCGGGGGCCGAGAGACAGGUGCUGCAUGGCUGUCGUCAGCUCGUAUCGUGAGAUGUCGGGUUAAGUCCCUUAACGAGCGCAACCCUUAUCCCUAGUUGCCAUUAUUAAGUUAGGCACUCUAUGGAGACUGCCGGUGUUAAACCGGAGGAAGGCGGGGAUGACGUCAAGUCCUCAUGGCCUUUAUAUCCAGGGCGACACACGUGCUACAAUGGCCGGUACAGAGGGUUGCCAACCCGCGAGGGGGAGCUAAUCUCAGAAAGCCGGUCUCAGUUCGGAUUGAAGUCUGCAAUUCGACUUCAUGAAGCUGGAAUCGCUAGUAAUCGCGGAUCAGAACGCCGCGGUGAAUACGUUCCCGGGCCUUGUACACACCGAGACGUA
RNAcentral lists this ribosomal RNA (440 nucleotides) under uncultured bacterium. Its description in RNAcentral is "bacterial SSU rRNA". It matches the Rfam family "Bacterial small subunit ribosomal RNA", at positions 958 to 1398 of the family's 1533-position model. The record is from RNAcentral.